This 600-nucleotide ribosomal RNA is filed under the name uncultured bacterium. RNAcentral's name for it is "bacterial SSU rRNA". It matches the Rfam family "Bacterial small subunit ribosomal RNA", at positions 900 to 1511 of the family's 1533-position model. The record is from RNAcentral.
CUUAAAGGAAUUGACGGGGGCCCGCACAAGCGGAGGAACAUGUGGUUUAAUUCGAUGAUACGCGAGGAACCUUACCCGGGCUUGAAUUGCAGAGGAACAUAGUUGAAAGAUUAUGGCCGCAAGGUCUCUGUGAAGGUGCUGCAUGGUUGUCGUCAGCUCGUGCCGUGAGGUGUCGGCUUAAGUGCCAUAACGAGCGCAACCCUUAUCAUUAGUUACUAACAGGUCAUGCUGAGGACUCUAGUGAGACUGCCGUCGUAAGAUGUGAGGAAGGUGGGGAUGACGUCAAAUCAGCACGGCCCUUACGUCCGGGGCUACACACGUGUUACAAUGGGGGGUACAGAGGGCAGCUACCGGGCGACCGGAUGCCAAUCCCAAAAACCUCUCUCAGUUCGGAUCGAAGUCUGCAACCCGACUUCGUGAAGCUGGAUUCGCUAGUAAUCGCGCAUCAGCCACGGCGCGGUGAAUACGUUCCCGGGCCUUGUACACACCGCCCGUCAAGCCAUGGGAGCCGGGGGUACCUGAAGUACGUAACCGCAAGGAGCGUCCUAGGGUAAAACUGGUGACUGGGGCUAAGUCGUAACAAGGUAGCCGUACCGGAAG